AUUGAACGCUGGCGGCAGGCCUAACACAUGCAAGUCGAGCGGCAGCGGAAAGUAGCUUGCUACUUUGCCGGCGAGCGGCGGACGGGUGAGUAAUGUCUGGGAAACUGCCUGAUGGAGGGGGAUCAUCACUUUAAAAAAACCCUUGCUUCCCCGGCCCCCUUCCGGUGAGCCCCGGAGUUUUCCAGAUUACGUGGCUACCGCACCCCCACCUUUUUGGUCCCUUAUUUCUUUGAAUCUUGAUCACUCAUCCGUAUUCUCCCCGGGGUAUGGCGUGCUCUUUAACCGGAGCUUUCUUUUUCUUUAUUCUGUGACCAAGACUCAUAC
RNAcentral lists this ribosomal RNA (324 nucleotides) under uncultured Lachnospiraceae bacterium. RNAcentral describes it as "partial 16S ribosomal RNA". Lineage: Bacteria; Bacillati; Bacillota; Clostridia; Lachnospirales; Lachnospiraceae. The record is from RNAcentral.